GGCGCCCACAUGGCCUGGUUUAUAUUUCCAUUAGUUGGUUGAUCAAAUUAAUUCAUUAAAAUCAAAUUAAUUUACAUGCAUUAGAAUGUUAUCUUAGAGGAUAACCAUGAGGUUUCUGUGUACAAAAUAAAUUAAUUAUCAACGGAAAAAAUACAGGGAACAAAGAUUCUGUAGAGAAAAAAACAAACAAAAAAACUUUAUACUUGUAUAAGAAAUAAAGUGGUAUUAAUGUAACUCUGAGACUCCACAUAUUAUAUUGGCACAAAUGAAACCAUUGUGACACUUAGCUAAAACAGUGAACAGUUCUGGAUUUCUAAUACUCAUCAGCAGAAUAAAAACAAAAACAUUUUGAUCUCUGUGUUUAAAAAAAAAGAAAAAAAUACAGGUAUAUUUUGCCAAACUGAUUACCAUGUACACUUUUAACAGCGCUAUUUGGUAAAGAAUAUUGUACACAUGAACUAUCUGUAGUUUUGGCUCCACCUUGUGGCAAGUGCACUUAAAAACAAAGAUAAGUAGAACCGUCCAAACUUUGGCUGCAAUUCCUAAUAUUUUUUGAUUAUCUUCAUAAGAAAUUAAACACCAAUGUUCUUGUGUUCUUGCAUUGCAUCACAGUAAAGAAAUUAAGGAAGGAACCUUCGAUAAACAUCACAGUUUAAUAAAGUGCAAAUGAAAUCAGGAUUAACAGAGGUCAACUCUGUAAUACAAAACCAAUAAUUAAAAAAAAAAAACAACAGAAAACAGGAGUUUACGUAAUCUGUGAUAAAAUAUACAGUUAUUAUAUUUAAAGCAACAACAUGCUUAAUUUCUAACAUGGUAGUGACUGAUUAAACAGGACAGCUAAAA
Molecule: long non-coding RNA, 843 nt
Organism: Poecilia latipinna (sailfin molly)
Lineage: Eukaryota; Metazoa; Chordata; Actinopteri; Cyprinodontiformes; Poeciliidae
Exons: 2
Source: RefSeq, a predicted model, not a curated record